AGAGUUUGAUCAUGGCUCAGAACGAACGUUGGCGGCGUGCUUAACACAUGCAAGUCGAACGAGAAAGUUCCUUCGGGGACGAGUAAAGUGGCGCACGGGUGAGUAACGCGUAGAUAAUCUGUCCAGAUGUUCGGGAUAGCCCUUCGAAAGGGGGAUUAAUACCGAAUACGUUAACCUACCAUAAGGUAGAUUAAGAAAGGUGGCCUCUAUUUAUAAGCUAUCGCAUUUGGAGGAGUCUGCGUACCAUUAGUUUGUUGGUGGGGUAAUGGCCUACCAAGACUUCGAUGGUUAGCGGGUCUGAGAGGAUGAUCCGUCACACUGGCACUGAAACACGGGCCAGACUCCUACGGGAGGCAGCAGUGAGGAAUAUUGCGCAAUGGGGGAAACCCUGACGCAGCGACGCCGCGUGGGUGAGGAAGGCUUUCGGGUCGUAAAGCCCUGUCAGGUGGGAAGAAAUGGUUAACAGUUAAUAUCUGUUAGUUUUGACGGUACCACCAAAGGAAGCACCGGCUAACUCCGUGCCAGCAGCCGCGGUAAUACGGAGGGUGCAAACGUUGUUCGGAAUCACUGGGCGUAAAGGGCGCGCAGGCGGCUUGAUUAGUCAGAUGUGAAAGCCCACGGCUUAACCGUGGAAGUGCAUU
This 641-nucleotide ribosomal RNA is filed under the name uncultured bacterium. RNAcentral describes it as "bacterial SSU rRNA". It matches the Rfam family "Bacterial small subunit ribosomal RNA", at positions 8 to 627 of the family's 1533-position model. The record is from RNAcentral.